This 433-nucleotide ribosomal RNA is filed under the name uncultured bacterium. RNAcentral describes it as "bacterial SSU rRNA". It matches the Rfam family "Bacterial small subunit ribosomal RNA", at positions 29 to 507 of the family's 1533-position model. The record is from RNAcentral.
AACGAACGCUGGCGGCAGGCCUAACACAUGCAAGUCGAGCGAGACCUUCGGGUCUAGCGGCGGACGGGUUAGUAACGCGUGGGAACGUGCCCUUCUCUGCGGAAUAGCCACUGGAAACGGUGAGUAAUACCGCAUACGCCCUUCGGGGGAAAGAUUUAUCGGAGAAGGAUCGGCCCGCGUUAGAUUAGAUAGUUGGUGGGGUAACGGCCUACCAAGUCUACGAUCUAUAGCUGGUUUUAGAGGAUGAUCAGCAACACUGGGACUGAGACACGGCCCAGACUCCUACGGGAGGCAGCAGUGGGGAAUCUUAGACAAUGGGCGCAAGCCUGAUCUAGCCACGCCGCGUGUGUGAUGAAGGUCUUAGGAUCGUAAAGCACUUUCGCCAGGGAUGAUAAUGACAGUACCUGGUAAAGAAACCCCGGCUAACUCCGUG